This 482-nucleotide ribosomal RNA is filed under the name Lumbrineris funchalensis. Its description in RNAcentral is "partial 16S ribosomal RNA". It matches the Rfam family "Bacterial large subunit ribosomal RNA", at positions 1855 to 2622 of the family's 2925-position model. The record is from RNAcentral. Lineage: Eukaryota; Metazoa; Annelida; Polychaeta; Eunicida; Lumbrineridae.
AUUCCUGCCCGGUGAUUUAUAUUAAACGGCCGCGGUAUCCUGACCGUGCGAAGGUAGCAUAAUAAUUUGCCUCUUAAUUAGUGGCUAGUAUGAAUGGAUUUACGAGAGUAUAGCUGUCUCCUACAAAAAAAUAAAAACUAAACUCUAAGUGAAGAUGCUUAGAUUAAUCUAAAGGACAAAAAGACCCUGUUGAGCUUAACCUAAACAAAAUUUAAUAAUUUCUUAAAGGUUUAGUUGGGGCGACUAAGGAAAAAAUAAAGCUUCCUUAACAUAAAGACAACAUAAGUCAAAUAAAAGAUCUGUUAAAACAAUCUGUAAAUAAGCUACCACAGGGAUAACAGACCAAUCCUCCUUAAGAGCUCAAAUUGACAGGAGGGCUUGGCACCUCGAUGUUGGCUUAAGAUUUCCUCUAAGUGCAGCCGCCUAGUAGGUAGGUUUGUUCAACCUUUAAAAUCUUACGUGAUCUGAGUUUCCAAACCGGA